AGGUGUCCUAUGAGCAUUUUGAUCAAGAGGAUGAAUUAUAUCGAAACUAUAUCUGCAUGGAUUCUAAGGAUGUUGUUCUACGCAUUCAACCUAUCCGACCAUCGGGUACCAUUGCUAGAUGAUCAGUUCGAUUGGUACAAAAAUUUAUUUCUAUACUACCGACUUAGGUUCAGACCUAUGAGAUCACACAUAUUAGAGUUUACGAUC
RNAcentral lists this long non-coding RNA (207 nucleotides) under Elaeis guineensis (African oil palm). RNAcentral's name for it is "long non-coding RNA (EGUI_LNC047256)". The record is from RNAcentral. Lineage: Eukaryota; Viridiplantae; Streptophyta; Magnoliopsida; Arecales; Arecaceae.